This 500-nucleotide ribosomal RNA is filed under the name uncultured bacterium. Its description in RNAcentral is "bacterial SSU rRNA". It matches the Rfam family "Bacterial small subunit ribosomal RNA", at positions 28 to 517 of the family's 1533-position model. The record is from RNAcentral.
GAUGAACGCUAGCUACAGGCUUAACACAUGCAAGUCGAGGGGCAGCGGGAUUGAAGCUUGCUUCAAUUGCCGGCGACCGGCGCACGGGUGAGUAACGCGUAUCCAACCUUCCGUACACUCAGGGAUAGCCUUUCGAAAGAAAGAUUAAUACCUGAUGGUAUGAUGAGAUUGCAUGAUAGCAUCAUUAAAGAUUUAUCGGUGUACGAUGGGGAUGCGUUCCAUUAGGUAGUAGGCGGGGUAACGGCCCACCUAGCCGACGAUGGAUAGGGGUUCUGAGAGGAAGGUCCCCCACAUUGGAACUGAGACACGGUCCAAACUCCUACGGGAGGCAGCAGUGAGGAAUAUUGGUCAAUGGACGAGAGUCUGAACCAGCCAAGUAGCGUGAAGGAUGAAGGUCCUACGGAUUGUAAACUUCUUUUAUAAGGGAAUAAACCCUCCCACGUGUGGGAGCUUGUAUGUACCUUAUGAAUAAGCAUCGGCUAACUCCGUGCCAGCAGCCG